CGCUAAGAAGCUGAACCGGUUAUAGCGUUAGCCUUUUAAGCUAAAGAUUGGUGACCACCACCCACCCCUAGCGA
RNAcentral lists this transfer RNA (74 nucleotides) under Scorpaenopsis cirrosa. Its description in RNAcentral is "tRNA-Lys". It matches the Rfam family "tRNA". Rfam says of the family: Transfer RNA (tRNA) molecules are approximately 80 nucleotides in length. Their secondary structure includes four short double-helical elements and three loops (D, anti-codon, and T loops). RNAcentral also lists the same sequence under 2 other names. The record is from RNAcentral. Lineage: Eukaryota; Metazoa; Chordata; Actinopteri; Perciformes; Scorpaenidae.